This 253-nucleotide ribosomal RNA is filed under the name uncultured bacterium. Its description in RNAcentral is "partial 16S ribosomal RNA". It matches the Rfam family "Bacterial small subunit ribosomal RNA", at positions 524 to 776 of the family's 1533-position model. The record is from RNAcentral.
UACGAAGGGGGCUAGCGUUGUUCGGAUUUACUGGGCGUAAAGCGCACGUAGGCGGAUCGAUCAGUCAGGGGUGAAAUCCCAGGGCUUAACCCUGGAACUGCCUUUGAUACUGUCGAUCUCGAGUCCGGAAGAGGUGAGUGGAAUUCCGAGUGUAGAGGUGAAAUUCGUAGAUAUUCGGAGGAACACCAGUGGCGAAGGCGGCUCACUGGUCCGGUACUGACGCUGAGGUGCGAAAGCGUGGGGAGCAAACAGG